AGAAUCUUUCACAAUGGGGGAAACCCUGAUGGAGCGACGCCGCGUGGGGGAUGAAUGGCUUCGGCCCGUAAACCCCUGUCAUCUGCGAUCAACCCCCCGACGUGAACAGCGUCGGGGCUGAUAGUAGCAGAAGAGGAAGGGACGGCUAACUCUGUGCCAGCAGCCGCGGUAAUACAGAGGUCCCAAGCGUUGUUCGGAUUCACUGGGCGUAAAGGGUGCGUAGGUGGCAUGGAAAGUUUGAUGUGAAAGCUCCGAGCUUUACUCGGAAAAUGCAUUGAAUACUACCAUGCUAGAGGAUUGGAGGGGGGACUGGAAUUCUCGGUGUAGCGGUGAAAUGCGUAGAUAUCGAGAGGAACACCAGUGGCGAAGGCGAGUCCCUGGACAAUUCCUGACACUGAGGCACGAAAGCUAGGGGAGCAAAC
Molecule: ribosomal RNA, 422 nt
Filed under: uncultured bacterium
Lineage: Bacteria
Description: bacterial SSU rRNA
Rfam family: Bacterial small subunit ribosomal RNA
Source: RNAcentral